RNAcentral lists this ribosomal RNA (410 nucleotides) under uncultured Nitrososphaerota archaeon. Its description in RNAcentral is "bacterial SSU rRNA". It matches the Rfam family "Archaeal small subunit ribosomal RNA", at positions 451 to 861 of the family's 1478-position model. The record is from RNAcentral. Lineage: Archaea; Thermoproteati; Nitrososphaerota.
UCUGGUGUCAGCCGCCGCGGUAAAACCAGCACCUCAAGUGGUCAGGAUGAUUAUUGGGCCUAAAGCAUCCGUAGCCUGCUUUGUCAGUUUUCGGCUAAAUCCAUACGCUCAACGUAUGGGCUGCCGGGAAUACUGCAAAGCUAGGGAGUGGGAGAGGUAGACGGUACUCGGUAGGAAGGGGUAAAAUCCUUUGAUCUAUUGAUGACCACCUGUGGCGAAGGCGGUCUACCAGAACACGUCCGACGGUGAGGGAUGAAAGCUGGGGGAGCAAACCGGAUUAGAUACCCGGGUAGUCCCAGCUGUAAACUAUGCAAACUCAGUGAUGCAUUGGCUUGAUGCCAAUGCAGUGCUGCAGGGAAGCCGUUAAGUUUGCCGCCUGGGAAGUACGUACGCAAGUAUGAAACUUAAAG